This is a non-coding RNA of Peromyscus maniculatus bairdii (prairie deer mouse), 6138 nucleotides long. Lineage: Eukaryota; Metazoa; Chordata; Mammalia; Rodentia; Cricetidae. The record is from RefSeq and is a predicted model, not a curated record.
CUCAACCAUGGAGCCAUCUCUCCAGCCCCUAAAAAAAAAUUCUUUUUAAAGUAAGAAAUAAAGGCUGGCAAGAUGGCUCAGCAGGUAAAAACUCUGGCCACCAAACCUUACAAGCAGGGUUCUAUCCCUGGGCCCCACGAGGUAGAAAGAGAGAAGCUCCUCCUACAAGCUGCCUUCUGACCUUGCCGCAUGUGUUAUGGCAUGCACACUCACACAAUAAAUGUGAUUUAAGGAAACAAAGAAAUUCCAGAUAUGGAGGAGGCUGCAGGCUUCGGAGUGCUGGGGGCUGGGGAAACUUGAAAAAGCUAGGUGGUCUCAUCAGCUCCUUGAAGAAACCCCUGUCUGGCUUGAGCCAGGCCUCAGCUCGGAAGACCCCGAAGCAGGUCCUCCCUGCUCCCAAAGCCUGUGGAUCUAGGUGUGGCUGCCGUUGAAGCGCAGCAUAGAGGAUGCGAAUCCAGCCUUUCACAAGCUGGGGAUGCUGAGAGAUGUAGCAAGAUCUGCAGCGCUUGCAGGGGGUGAGAGGUGAGAGCAGCACCCUCAGGGCAGUGUGCCAGGCUCAGACUGGGGCCUUCCCCAAGGGCUGGCAGCCAGAAGCCAGAGGUGCUCCCGAUUCUGCUGAGCACUCGCAGGUCCUCUCUGCACCCUUGAGAGCAUUUCUCAUUAGGCUCUAUGUGCGAGCGGGGUGCCUGGCUUCCUCGGGUCCAACAACCGUGCUGUCCCCGCCUGCUCCUGGGUGGUGGCUCCCCUGCCUCUGGACUGCAGCUCCCACUCCCACCGGCGGCACAGAACUGGGGGUGGAGCAGCCUCACAGCUGUUUGCUCCCAGGCAGCAUGGCUAAGUAGUUCACAGCUCUGGCUCUGAGUCAGAACCCGCCCAUUUCAAUCCCUCUGCUGCCAUUACUAUCUUUGUGGCCCUGGGCGACUUAACUCCGUUAUGCUUCAUCUGUGCAGCAGGGAUAAUGAUAGACCUUCAUACUGGCCCUGAGCUUUACUAUGAUAAUGCAGAGAAGGCACUCAGCUUGGUCCACCUCUACCUCCUGGAGCCGAGGGCCCUGUUCUUGUUCCUUCUCUCUUUCUUUUUAAAUUUUAUUUACUUUAUGUACGUUGGUGUGAAGGUGUCAGAUCUCCUGGACAGUGGUGGGCUGCCAUGUGCAUGCUGGGAAUUGAAUUCCGCCGGAAGAGCAGCCAGUGCUCCCAGCUGCUAAGCGUCUCUCCGGUCCCUGCCCUGUUCCUGUGGAACAGCUAGCCCCCUGCCUCAGCACUCUGCUGUCUCUCUCCCUCCCAUCUGUGUUGCCCUCUGUUCACAUGUCCAUCUCCGCCUGUGGGCCAGAGCACCACUAGGUCAAAGAUAACAUUGUAUGUGUCUGUGUUCUUGGUGCCCAGCACAGGGCUUGGCCUAUUUGACAAGAGGAAUGUGAAUUCACUGUUGGAAGGAAUUGGUGAGGCCGUAUAGAAGACCCAGAAGACGGAGACUGGAGGGAUGGCUCAGCAGUUAGGAGUACGGGCUGCCUUUGCAGAAGACCUGGAUUUGGUUCCAAGCUCCCACAGAGUGAUUCACAACUCCAGGGUAUCUGACACAUUCUUCUGGCCCGCACGGCCACCAGACUCCCACGUGGUGCACAUACAUGGAGACAAUGAAGAAAAAAGCCAGUCCUCUAGGAGCCUGUUACUGUUAUUCCCACGCUGCCUCGGGAAGGUAAAUCUGCUCAAAGGCGAUCAGCGGGCUGCAGUAGCUAGGAUUUGAAUCCAGACAUCAGGACCCAGCACCUUCUUUCCUAACCCUUGGGUGGUCCAGCCAAAGAGCUAAAUGAACGUCUCGACCAACCGCACGGCACUCCUUAGCAGCCCUGGCCCCAGCAGGUCCGCCAGAAUAAUGGAGAAAACGACACCAAGAAUCCAUUCCAAACGAACAACCAAGAGGAGAUGGCAGCUCCCAGAUGUUGAUGUUUUGUUUUUUGACAUAAAUCUUCGCACUCAUAUGGGAGUUUUCAUUGAUUCAUGUUCCCAUCUGCUGAAUUUCCUUUUAUUUAUUUAAUAUGGCUUUUUGGGGAAAUCUUGCUUCGAAGCUCUGGAGAAGCAUAAAGCGUGGCAACCGCUGCAGUCCUCCUUCCUCUUCCAAGCCGAGGCUGCUGGGGGGCAGGGAUAUGCGGUGGCGGCCUGCAGAGGGGGUGCUGGGCGUCCUCGAUGGGGGUGGGCCCUGCAGACCUGCGCUAACGUGGCGAUUCUGCCUCUUGGAGCCUUCCAGAGGCAGGGAGAGGGAGGAAGGGAAGAAGAGGGGGUAGACUGGCCGACUUCCUUGUGUUUCCUGCUAACCUUCAAUACUACGCUCCUUUUCUUUCGUACUAACAUGCAGUUUCCUUUUGACACAUUGGGUACCAGGGAACAUCUAAUAGUGGACAUCAAUAUUAAUAUGAUGGUGUAUCUCCCCCUCCAUCCUUUACCCUUCCACCCCAAUAGUGAUCCAUCAGCAAUUACAGACUCCAACUCGGGAAUCAGCCUGAAUCUUGACGAGUUUCCAGAGGGAAUGCCUGAACAAAUUAACUUUUUAGAGCUUUGGAUUUCCUACAUAGAAAAUAAGAAUAAUUACUACAUCCUUGAUACAAGUUAUAUUUUACAGAUAAGGAAACCGAUGCAGAAACAAAUUGGGGCAUUGUCCAACUCAUCUCCACCCAAACACACAUCUCUACAGACCUGACCACUCCAGCUCCUCCCAAGAAUUCAACUUAAACCAUUUGCCUGGCAAAUAUCAGAGCCUUUUUUUUUUUCCAUGAGUCAGAAGAAAAGGCUAGAAGUGAGUAAUUCAAAAGGAUGGCUAAUUGAGAACAAUAUUCACUGAACUUGGAAAAAUGGGAUCAAACUUGGGGGAAAUCUAGACGUCAUCCUCUUGGGUCCCUCACCUAAUCCGUACUGUCCUUUCUGACAAGCAGGGAGACUUCACUUUUGCUGGCACCUGUUCUAGUGGAGGAUACUUUGAGACAUUAAGAGCCCCUAAGGCCAGGUGUAGUGGUGCACAAGAGGCAGAGGCAGGUGGAUCUCUGAGUUUGAGGCCAGCCUGGUCUACCUAGAGCGUUCCAGGACAGCCAGGCUGUCUCACCCUUCUCCCAAAAAAGCCCUAUAGAUUAUGGGAUAGGAGUAUUUGAAUGUUAGAGCCACACAGACCACACCCCUUAAGACCUAUCUUUGUCCUAUAGCUGUGAAGGUCAGUUCUGAGGAGAAUGGAGUUUCCCAUGUUGUGUGGCCUUUUCCUGAGAAGGAUGAACAGAUGUCUGUUCAUCCCAGAUAGGGCACCAACCACAGACUGAAGAAACAAUCUUAGCCAAGUAUAGCUUGGUAAGCCAAUGAGUUUAAUCAGGAGCCUGGGUAAUGGUUUAUGUACAGGAAUGCUUUCAACUUAUGGGCAGCUACACCACUAAAGAAAAGCCUCUCUCCCAGCAACCAGCACCUGCCUAUGUAUUAUGCUUGGGGAGGGCCAGAGCUGUGUGAAGCCCUCCUCCCUCUGUUACUGAUGUUAAUGGGCCCAGUCUUGUGUGAAUCUCAUGUUCUCAUAGCUGCUGAGAGUACAGUUGGACAACAGCCAUGCCGUGCCAGGAGGACAGUGCUCUACGACACCCGAGGUCACUUGAAGUGUAGCACUAGACUACAGUGCCAUCUUUUGGGGGUUGGCACUGCUUCCCUAUGCAUAUAUCUCACCCAGCCCAACCUUCUCUCCAUGUUCUGGGGGGAACCUCUCCUGGCUCGGCAUAUGCACCUGGAUAUUUGAGGCGGAUUUGGUUCUGUGUUUGCUGAGUCUUUGCACACAUCUGUAACCUUCAUCCAUCCAUGCUGUUUUCUGGAACCCCUUUGAACAGUAAACCACACAAUAUUGGCUCGUGUGCUUCAAACGGCCCAGGAAGUGGACACUCAAAAUGUGUUCAGUGAAAAAUGAGAUCAUAUGAAAGACUGUUCCUCUUCACUUUGCCCAAAAGCCACCUAGGCUGAAACCAUGACUUCACUGGCGAACUAAAGCCUACUCAUCCAAUCCAUUAUUUGUCCUUGAGAUAGCUGAAACAGAGCAUGCACCUCACAUAAAAAUCCAAAAAACAGGGGCUGGAGAGAUGGCUCAGCGGUUAAGAGCUCUGACUGCUCUCCUGGAGGUCCCGAGUUCAGUUCCCAGCAACCACUUGGUGGCUCACAGCCAUCUGUAAUGAGAUCUGGUGCCCUCUUCUGACCUGCAAGGACACAUGCAGGGAUUCUGGAUCUUUAGCUCCGUGGUAGAGUGCCUGCUUAACAUGAGUGGGGCCCUAGUUUGAUCCCAAGAUCACACACAGAAAAGAUGGAGAGCGUCCAUCACAGACAUGUGCAAUAGUUACGAUAUGUGUAACCAGAUGGCGAUAUGGGGGACGGUUAGUUAACUGCUCAUAUGCACAUUUUGGGUAUCUUCUGGACAUGUUACACUUCACAAUAAAGUUGUUUAGAUAUAACUUACCUGGUAAGUUGUGUGUGCGCUGAGGGAGACAAUGGGUUUAAAGCUCUAGCCAAUAGUAGUGUAGUAGGCCGUCAGUGGAAACGAGUUUUUCAUGGUGAGGGAAUGAUUUGAAGCCGUGGAGAAGGCCACAUAAUCAGUCACUGGCAAUAUUAAGAAAGCCCUUUCCUCCAAAGCAUUGACUGCCUAUUUUUGUGUGUACGUAUAUACGGGAGUAGGGGUGUUUACUGAUGUGGAGAAAUGGACAGCUACUAACCCAGUGCAGAGUUGGAAAACAUUACUCUGAAGCCCCCAGAGAAGACAUGGAGGGAAGGGAUAGGAAAACUGGCUGACUCCAGAGGUUCUGGACGAGAGGCCUAAGAGCUGAAAGGAGAAACUUCCACAGGACUCAUAGGAAGGGACCAGGUCUCAGGUUCCAGUAGACCCCUGGAGGGCUCACCUAAGCCCACCUGGCUGUCUCAUGCUUUGGGCAGCGUGGAUGAGACUUGAGAAGCCAGCCCAGGCGACAGUGGGUUGGCCCAGGCCCAGCUCAUUGAUGGUGAGGAAAGCCGUUCUGCUGAUCGUGCUCUAAAGGCACCGUGGAAGUGGCCAAGAGUGCUCACCCAGCCAAAAGGCACUGGAAUCAGCCGGGGAGGCCAGGGAAAUCUGGCCAGAGCCUUCUAGCCAGGAGAUGCCAGCAGAACUGUGCACCUCUGGAUACAAGCCUUUUGAAGGUCUCAGAGCCAAGACUGCUCCGGCCAAGCCAGCCAUACGCUCCAAGAUAGGGCUGCCCAGACGGAGCCUGGUUUGGGGUACUGGGAACGGCCUCUUUUCCCCAGUGUCUCUGUCUACCCUGUGAUGUCACCACACGAUGCCAUAGACGGGACCACAAACAACGGAAGCGUGUUCUGCUGCUGGUACUGGAGGCUAGAGAGCUCAAGAUCAAGGAGCCAUAUUUGACAAAGGCCUUCCUGCUGCACUGUAACAUGGCAGAGGGGCAUUGCAAGCACACCAAACAGAAAGACAGGACAAGAAAGAGAGGGAUAAGCCCGCUGUCGGAGCCCUCACGGCUCUAUCCUUUCUUGAAGGUCUUCCCCUUAAGGUCGGCACAAUGGCCAAUUUCAGAUUGAGUUUGGGGACGGAUGUGUGAGACCACAGCACCACCUGCCUCCACCCUGUGUGUUGACACACGCCCUGGUCAGUGAAAGUACCAGAGACAAGAUGUUGAAAGCUUGAACCCACAACCAACACUGUGGAUGCUCUUGACCCUUUAGGAUUUCUUUCACUCUCCUCUAAUUUGUUCUAGUUAACUUAGUUCCAUUAUUCAAUUCUGUAGGGGCCCCCAGACACAACUGAUGCCAUGUCGGAAGUACCAUUCAGGCCAUAAAACGCAGCACGCAGACAGCACCACCCGCCAGAGUGAAAACAAAGACCUAAUCCAUCAAAGCCCACGGUUCUGGGAAAGUCUCUAAAUGGACUCACCUUGCUUUUCGCCUUCUGUAGUUCUGCUUCUGGCUAGCUGUUCUUGCUAACUGAAGUAUGUCAACACAAAAUAUAUGAGUGGUUUUUUUUUUGUUUUGGGGUGUGUGUGUGUGUGUGUGUGUGUGUGUGUGUGUGUGUGUGUGCUCACCCUGAGAAAGACUACUGAGUAUUUGGGAUCUCGAGCACUCAAUGUAGCUACCGGCCAGCUAAUAAAGA